UUAAAUGAAUGAUACCAAACAAACAUAACUCAAUCGGUGGUGGGUCCCACAGAUUGCACUGCAUGUCACACUAUAAAUUUCCAACUAUCUUACCAAAACUUCCAAACUCAUUCUCUUUCUUUGACUCAUUUUGGUCUUGGCUGUUUUUGGUUUCGCUGGAAUCUGAUGUAAGGGUGGCCGGCUGGAAAACAUGGUGCAAUUCUUUAGUGCAGUGUCGAUUCUAAUUCUGGUGGCUGUGGCGGCAUCGAUGGUGGUGCUGCCGCUGAUGUUGCCGCCCCUGCCUCCACCGCCGCUGAUUCUCCUCUUCUUCCCCGUCGGCAUAAUGACGGCGCUUAUGUUGCUGGCGUUUGUGCCAUCAGAGGUGCCCAUGGCUACAAACCUAAUCCUUUAGGAUAUGAUGAAAUAAUAAGGAAUAUGAUUUAGGAGCACGUGAUUCUUGCCUGCUACAUUUCUCUGUUUUAUAGAGAGAGUAACAUGUUUUUUUAGUUAUCAAAUAACUGUAUAAAUGUUUAGAUGAUUAUUUAAUGAAGUAGCUUUUUUUAAAAAAAUCUUCGUUAAGUAUUCUUUUUUUAUUUUUUUAAUAAUUAUGUUAUAAGUAUCUGUGGAGAAAUCUAACUUAUUACUCGUAAUAAACAUUAUGAAAAGUUUAAGCAAAAUUUACUUCAUAGCUGCCCCGGGGUAAGAGUAAAGUUA
RNAcentral lists this long non-coding RNA (693 nucleotides) under Glycine max (soybean). RNAcentral's name for it is "long non-coding RNA (GMAX_LNC003532)". Lineage: Eukaryota; Viridiplantae; Streptophyta; Magnoliopsida; Fabales; Fabaceae. The record is from RNAcentral.